UUUAUAUUCAAUUUGUAUUAGCUGUCUAAACUUUUAAAGCUAUAAUGAAAUAUUUGAAUUUUUUAUUUGACGAUAAUAUUGAGGAUAAGUUCAGUUAGGUCUGUUUGGAUGUUAAGAAAAUGCAGGAAAAAGAGAAGAAAUUAAAAACUUUGACCGUCGUUUUAAGUGGGACCUGAAGAAAACAGAAAUUCAAUUAGCUUGAGCCAUACAUGAGGAUUUGACCUGGUUUAUUCAAAAUUCUACUUUCUGCAUUCUUUUCACUUCUCUUUCUAAUUCUACAGAACGAAUUUAGAUGUGGAAGCAUUGUGUGUCAACAUGACUGAGUAAUCAGAGGAAUUAAUAUUUUCUG
RNAcentral lists this unclassified non-coding RNA (349 nucleotides) under Hevea brasiliensis (rubber tree). The record is from RNAcentral. Lineage: Eukaryota; Viridiplantae; Streptophyta; Magnoliopsida; Malpighiales; Euphorbiaceae.